Molecule: ribosomal RNA, 496 nt
Filed under: uncultured bacterium
Lineage: Bacteria
Description: bacterial SSU rRNA
Rfam family: Bacterial small subunit ribosomal RNA
Source: RNAcentral
AGAGUUUGAUCCUGGCUCAGGACGAACGCUUGCGGCGUGCCUAAGAAAUGCAAGUCGAACGGGUGGCAGCGAUGUCACCAGUGGCGAACGGUCGCGUAACACGUAAGCAACCUGCCCGGAAGUGGGGGAUAACAGUCCGAAAGGUCUGCUAAUACCGCAUGUGGUCAAGGGGGGGCAUCUCCCCUUGUCUAAAGAUUUAUUGCUUCCGGAUGGGCUUGCGGCCUAUCAGGUAGUUGGUGGGGUAACGGCCUACCAAGCCGACGACGGGUAGCUGGUCUGAGAGGACGAUCAGCCGGAUUGGGACUGAGAUACGGCCCAGACUCCUACGGGGGGCAGCAAUUAGGAAUCUUGCGCAAUGGGGGCAACCCUGACGCAGCGACGCCGCGUGCGGGACGAAGGCAUUCGUGUCGUAAACCGCUUUUGUGGGGGAAGAAGAAUGUGACGGUACCCCACGAAUAAGCCCCGGCUAACUACGUGCCAGCCGCCGCGGUAAUAC